ACGGUGACGUGGGGCGGGAUCCCUGAAAACCGGGUCUCAGUUCGGAUCGCAGUCUGCAACUCGACUGCGUGAAGGUGGAGUCGCUAGUAAUCGCGGAUCAGCAACGCCGCGGUGAAUGCGUUCCCGGGCCUUGUACACACCGCCCGUCAAGUCAUGAAAGUGGGCAGCACCCGAAGACGGUGGCCUAACCCUUGUGGGGGGAGCCGUCUAAGGUGAGGCUCGUGAUUGGGACUAAGUCGUAACAAGGUAGC
Molecule: ribosomal RNA, 251 nt
Filed under: uncultured bacterium
Lineage: Bacteria
Description: partial 16S ribosomal RNA
Rfam family: Bacterial small subunit ribosomal RNA
Source: RNAcentral